AUAAGCAAGCAAUCUGCCCAUUCCGAACAGGCAUGUUUUGAAUAAACACUGCACUAGUCUUUCUAUCUUUGGGUUCCCAUCACGAUUGAGACCCCCAGACACAUCAAGGAUUCAGGUAAGGCUCCCUGGGUCCUUUGUGUCCCAUCUCCACCAAGACCUUGGACUUGGAGCCUUCCAUCAUGAGGAGGAAAAGAACAGGAGAGAACAGGAUGUUGAGGACAGUGGGGCCAUGCCAUGGGAGGAGCAGUGGACAAGAUUCAUGAGAGAGGUAGCCAGUCCUUACAUCAGGGACCUGAUACACCAGAUUCCAGAAUCUGAAUAUUAUUGGGGCCUUCAGCAUUUUGGGACCACAGGCAGCUGCACAGACCUUGAUACUCCAGGAGUGGCAGUCCUUCAAGGAGCACAUGCGUGGAGAAUUCAAGGAGAUGAACCAAGCCAAAAUAAUGACUUUGCUUGCCAGUGAGUGUGACAACUGGGAACAGAUCUACCCAUUACUCAGCAGUUGCACUUGUCAUCCCGGUGUGAAACAUCAACUGUGAGACAGACUUCUCCACGAUGAACAGGGUCAAAUCAGAACUUCGUAACAGGCUGCAAGGAGAGCACCUGGCUGCCUGCCUGGGGGUCUCCAUCAAUGGGUCAAGCCCAGAGGAAUUCAACCACAAAAGGGCAUUAGAACUGUUACUGUCAAAGCCCAGGAAAAUUAAAUGUCAAAACUCAGGUUACAAAGUUUGCCAAUGGGGACAGAUGAUCAUCCUCUAUUUAUGAUUUAUAAUAAAUCUGUAUUAAAGGCCCCCACACAUGAAAUACAGACUUUUCAAGUCCAGUUUGGUACAAUUUGAUUCGGCCUCGAAAAUUGUUUUCAGAUGAAAAAGGUUUAUUUUUGGUUGAAAGCUUAAAUUUUUCUAUUACAAAGUUGAACAGGGAAAUGACAAUGUGCCCUCCUCAUCAAGUAUAUUCUUUAUUUUCAAAAAAAAUUAACCAGUUCAACACAAGUAACCACUUUUGCUUCAUUUCUUUGAUGGCUUAAAUGAAUGCUCUACUCAAUUUUGUGUGUUGACCAUUUGUGAACUGUGUUAAACUCUGUCCUGUUUA
Molecule: long non-coding RNA, 1092 nt
Organism: Thunnus maccoyii (southern bluefin tuna)
Lineage: Eukaryota; Metazoa; Chordata; Actinopteri; Scombriformes; Scombridae
Exons: 4
Source: RefSeq, a predicted model, not a curated record